AGAGUUUGAUCCUGGCUCAGGAUGAACGCUGGCGGCGUGCUUAACACAUGCAAGUCGAACGGUGCUAGCAAUGGCACAGUGGCGCACGGGUGAGGAACACGUAGCUUAUCUGCCCACAAGCGCGGGAUAACGCUCCGAAAGGAGUGCUAAUACCGCAUAAGCUCCCGAGCUACAGAGGCUUGGGAGAAAAGGGGCAACCCGCUUAUGGAGGAGGCUGCGGCCCAUCAGGUAGUUGGUGCGGUAACGGCGCACCAAGCCGACGACGGGUAGGGGACCUGAGAGGGUGAUCCCCCACACUGGGACUGAGACACGGCCCAGACUCCUACGGGAGGCAGCAGUGAGGAAUAUUGCCCAAUGGGCGCAAGCCUGAGGCAGCGACGCCGCGUGGGUGAAGAAGGCCUUCGGGUCGUAAAGCCCUUUUCUGUGUGACGAGCAAAGGACGGUAGCACAGAA
This 453-nucleotide ribosomal RNA is filed under the name uncultured bacterium. RNAcentral's name for it is "bacterial SSU rRNA". It matches the Rfam family "Bacterial small subunit ribosomal RNA", at positions 8 to 485 of the family's 1533-position model. The record is from RNAcentral.